Molecule: ribosomal RNA, 452 nt
Filed under: uncultured Hyphomicrobiales bacterium
Lineage: Bacteria; Pseudomonadati; Pseudomonadota; Alphaproteobacteria; Hyphomicrobiales
Description: bacterial SSU rRNA
Rfam family: Bacterial small subunit ribosomal RNA
Source: RNAcentral
AACGAACGCUGGCGGCAGGCUUAACACAUGCAAGUCGAACGGGCGUAACAAUACGUCAGUGGCAGACGGGUGAGUAACACGUGGGAACGUCCCCCUCGGUUCGGAAUAACUCAGGGAAACUUGAGCUAAUACCGGAUACGUCCGAGAGGAGAAAGAUUUAUCGCCGAGGGAUCGGCCCGCGUCUGAUUAGCUAGUUGGUGAGGUAAUGGCUCACCAAGGCGACGAUCAGUAGCUGGUCUGAGAGGAUGAUCAGCCACACUGGGACUGAGACACGGCCCAGACUCCUACGGGAGGCAGCAGUGGGGAAUAUUGGACAAUGGGCGCAAGCCUGAUCCAGCCAUGCCGCGUGAGUGAUGAAGGCCUUAGGGUUGUAAAGCUCUUUUGCCAGGGAAGAUAAUGACUGUACCUGGAGAACAAGCCCCGGCUAACUUCGUGCCAGCAGCCGCGGUAAU